GUGCCUGUUUUGGCAGCACAUACCCUAAAAUUGGAAAGAUACAGAGAUUAGCGAGGCCUCAGUACAAGGAUGACACAGAUUCAUGAAGAGUUCCAUAUUUUU
Small nuclear RNA from Aotus nancymaae (Ma's night monkey), 102 nucleotides. Lineage: Eukaryota; Metazoa; Chordata; Mammalia; Primates; Aotidae. The record is from Ensembl.